UACGGGGGGGGCAAGCGUUGUUCGGAAUUACUGGGCGUAAAGGGCUUGUAGGUGGCCAACUAAGUCAGACGUGAAAUCCCUCGGCUUAACCGGGGAACUGCGUCUGAUACUGAAGAUCUUGAGUUCGGGAGAGGUGAGUGGAACUGCGAGUGUAGAGGUGAAAUUCGUAGAUAUUCGCAAGAACACCAGUGGCGAAGGCGGCUCACUGGCCCGAUACUGACGCUGAGGCACGAAAGCGUGGGGAGCAAACAGG
This 253-nucleotide ribosomal RNA is filed under the name uncultured bacterium. RNAcentral's name for it is "partial 16S ribosomal RNA". It matches the Rfam family "Bacterial small subunit ribosomal RNA", at positions 524 to 776 of the family's 1533-position model. The record is from RNAcentral.